This 397-nucleotide ribosomal RNA is filed under the name uncultured bacterium. Its description in RNAcentral is "bacterial SSU rRNA". It matches the Rfam family "Bacterial small subunit ribosomal RNA", at positions 28 to 415 of the family's 1533-position model. The record is from RNAcentral.
GAUGAACGCUGGCGGCGUGCCUAAUACAUGCAAGUCGAACGCACAGCGAAAGGUGCUUGCACCUUUCAAGUGAGUGGCGAACGGGUGAGUAACACGUGGACAACCUGCCUCAAGGCUGGGGAUAACAUUUGGAAACAGAUGCUAAUACCGAAUAAAACUUAGUGUCGCAUGACACAAAGUUAAAAGGCGCUUCGGCGUCACCUAGAGAUGGAUCCGCGGUGCAUUAGUUAGUUGGUGGGGUAAAGGCCUACAAGACAAUGAUGCAUAGCCGAGUUGAGAGACUGAUCGGCCACAUUGGGACUGAGACACGGCCCAAACUCCUACGGGAGCUGCAGUAGGGAAUCUUCCACAAAUGGGCGAAAGCCUGAUGGAGCAACGCCGCGUGUGUGAUGAAGGC